UACAGGGGGGGCAAGCGUUGUUCGGAAUUACUGGGCGUAAAGCGCACGUAGGCGGAUUUGUAAGUCAGGGGUGAAAUCCCGGGGCUCAACCUCGGAACUGCCUUUGAUACUGCAAGUCUCGAGUCCGAUAGAGGUGAGUGGAAUUCCUAGUGUAGAGGUGAAAUUCGUAGAUAUUAGGAAGAACACCAGUGGCGAAGGCGGCUCACUGGAUCGGUACUGACGCUGAGGUGCGAAAGCGUGGGGAGCAAACAGGG
This 254-nucleotide ribosomal RNA is filed under the name uncultured bacterium. RNAcentral's name for it is "partial 16S ribosomal RNA". It matches the Rfam family "Bacterial small subunit ribosomal RNA", at positions 524 to 777 of the family's 1533-position model. The record is from RNAcentral.